This 497-nucleotide ribosomal RNA is filed under the name uncultured bacterium. RNAcentral's name for it is "partial 16S ribosomal RNA". It matches the Rfam family "Bacterial small subunit ribosomal RNA", at positions 28 to 507 of the family's 1533-position model. The record is from RNAcentral.
GACGAACGCUGGCGGCGUGCCUAAUACAUGCAAGUAGAACGCUGAAGAGAGGAGCUUACUCUUCUUGGAUGAGUUGCGAACGGGUGAGUAACGCGUAGGUAACCUGCCUUGUAGCGGGGGAUAACUAUUGGAAACGAUAGCUAAUACCGCAUAACAAUGGAUGACACAUGUCAUUUAUUUGAAAGGGGCAAUUGCUCCACUACAAGAUGGACCUGCGUUGUAUUAGCUAGUAGGUGAGGUAAUGGCUCACCUAGGCGACGAUACAUAGCCGACCUGAGAGGGUGAUCGGCCACACUGGGACUGAGACACGGCCCAGACUCCUACGGGAGGCAGCAGUAGGGAAUCUGCGGCAAUGGGGGCAACCCUGACCGAGCAACGCCGCGGGAGGGAAGAAGGUUUUCGGAUCGUAAAGCUCUGUUGUAAGUCAAGAACGGGUGUGAGAGUGGAAAGUUCACACUGUGACGGUAGCUUACCAGAAAGGGACGGCUAACUACGUG